GUGUAGCUGUGGCCAUUGAUUGACACAUUAAAAUCAUCCAUUGACUGGGAUAAUUUAGGUGAACGUUUGUAUGUAACGACCAAUGCUCACUAUGUACUUUUUAAAGACACUUAAACUAUGGGGUCACCAAAGGUUCUCAACACCUAAAUAAAGUAAUUCGAAAAAAUAAUCAGAAAUGACACGAUAUUUUGAUUUAUAUCAAUUAUAUAAAUCAAAACACAAAGGUUA
This 228-nucleotide long non-coding RNA is filed under the name Mytilus galloprovincialis (Mediterranean mussel). The record is from RNAcentral. Lineage: Eukaryota; Metazoa; Mollusca; Bivalvia; Mytilida; Mytilidae.